Molecule: ribosomal RNA, 252 nt
Filed under: uncultured bacterium
Lineage: Bacteria
Description: partial 16S ribosomal RNA
Rfam family: Bacterial small subunit ribosomal RNA
Source: RNAcentral
UACAGAGGCCUCGAGCGUUGUUCGGAAUUACUGGGCGUAAAGGGAAUGUAGGUGGUGACGUAAGUCAGAUGUGAAAGCCCUGGGCUUAACCUGGGAAGUGCAUUUGAUACUGCGUUGCUUGAGUAUGAGAGAGGAAAGCGGAAUUCCCAGUGUAGGAGUGAAAUCCGUAGAUAUUGGAAGGAAUACCGAUGGCGAAGGCAGCUUUCUGGCUCGUAACUGACACUGAGAUUCGAAAGCGUGGGUAGCAAACAG